GCGAGCUCUGGGCCGGCAGUCUGGGUAUUCGGUGGGGGGUAAUCGUUAUCCGGAAUUAUUGGGCGUAAAGGGCUCGGAUGCGGUGCGUCGCGGCCGGUGUGAUAGUCCAUCGCUUAACGGUGGAGCGGCGCCGGGUACGGGCGGGCUGGAGUGUGGUAGGGGAGACUGGAAUUCCCGGUGUAACGGUGGAAUGUGUAGAUAUCGGGAAGAACACCAAUGGCGAAGGCAGGUCUCUGGGCCGUUACUGACGCUGAGGAGCGAAAGCGUGGGGAGCGAACAGGAUUAGAUACCCUAGUAGUC
Molecule: ribosomal RNA, 300 nt
Filed under: uncultured Ilumatobacter sp.
Lineage: Bacteria; Bacillati; Actinomycetota; Acidimicrobiia; Acidimicrobiales; Ilumatobacteraceae
Description: bacterial SSU rRNA
Rfam family: Bacterial small subunit ribosomal RNA
Source: RNAcentral